This 483-nucleotide ribosomal RNA is filed under the name uncultured bacterium. RNAcentral's name for it is "partial 16S ribosomal RNA". It matches the Rfam family "Bacterial small subunit ribosomal RNA", at positions 30 to 506 of the family's 1533-position model. The record is from RNAcentral.
AUUGAACGCUGGCGGCAGGCCUAACACAUGCAAGUCGAGCGGAUGAAGGGAGCUUGCUCCUGGAUUCAGCGGCGGACGGGUGAGUAAUGCCUAGGAAUCUGCCUGGUAGUGGGGGAUAACGUCCGGAAACGGGCGCUAAUACCGCAUACGUCCUGAGGGAGAAAGUGGGGGAUCUUCGGACCUCACGCUAUCAGAUGAGCCUAGGUCGGAUUAGCUAGUUGGUGGGGUAAAGGCCUACCAAGGCGUCGAUCCGUAACUGGUCUGAGAGGAUGAUCAGUCAAUUGGGAAGUGAGACACGGUCCAGACUCCUAGGGAGGGGGAGGAGGGGGAAUGUGGGAAGAUGGGCGAAAGCGUGAUCCAGCCAUGCCAAGGUGGUGAAGAAGCUCUUUGGGUUGUAAAGCACUUGAAGUUGGGAGAGAGGGGAGUAAAUUAAGGCCUUGCUUUUUUGACGUUACCAACAGAAAAAACCCCGGCUAACUUCUG